AUUGAACGCUGGCGGAAUGCUUUACACAUGCAAGUCGAACGGUAGAGGGGGCAACCCCUUGAGAGUGGCGAACGGGUGAGUAAUAUAUCGGAACGUGCCCAGUCGUGGGGAUAACGUAGCGAAAGUUACGCUAAUACCGCAUACGAUCUAAGGAUGAAAGCGGGGGAUCGCAAGACCUCGCGCGAUUGGAGCGGCCGAUAUCAGAUUAGGUAGUUGGUGAGGUAAAGGCUCACCAAGCCAACGAUCUGUAGCUGGUCUGAGAGGACGACCAGCCACACUGGAACUGAGACACGGUCCAGACUCCUACGGGAGGCAGCAGUGGGGAAUUUUGGACAAUGGACGCAAGUCUGAUCCAGCCAUUCCGCGUGCAGGAUGAAGGCCCUCGGGUUGUAAACUGCUUUUGUACGGAACGAAAAGGUUUGUCUUAAUACGAUGAGCUCAUGACGGUACCGUAAGAAUAAGCACCGGCUAACUACGUGCCAGCAGCCGCGGU
Molecule: ribosomal RNA, 493 nt
Filed under: uncultured bacterium
Lineage: Bacteria
Description: bacterial SSU rRNA
Rfam family: Bacterial small subunit ribosomal RNA
Source: RNAcentral